Molecule: ribosomal RNA, 970 nt
Filed under: Vibrio sp.
Lineage: Bacteria; Pseudomonadati; Pseudomonadota; Gammaproteobacteria; Vibrionales; Vibrionaceae
Description: bacterial SSU rRNA
Rfam family: Bacterial small subunit ribosomal RNA
Source: RNAcentral
GGGGCGGUCUAAAUGCAAGUCGAGCGGAAACGAGUUAACUGAACCUUCGGGGGACGUUAACGGCGUCGAGCGGCGGACGGGUGAGUAAUGCCUGGGAAAUUGCCCUGAUGUGGGGGAUAACCAUUGGAAACGAUGGCUAAUACCGCAUAAUAGCUUCGGCUCAAAGAGGGGGACCUUCGGGCCUCUCGCGUCAGGAUAUGCCCAGGUGGGAUUAGCUAGUUGGUGAGGUAAUGGCUCACCAAGGCGACGAUCCCUAGCUGGUCUGAGAGGAUGAUCAGCCACACUGGAACUGAGACACGGUCCAGACUCCUACGGGAGGCAGCAGUGGGGAAUAUUGCACAAUGGGCGCAAGCCUGAUGCAGCCAUGCCGCGUGUGUGAAGAAGGCCUUCGGGUUGUAAAGCACUUUCAGCAGUGAGGAAGGUGGUGUCGUUAAUAGCUGCAUCAUUUGACGUUAGCUGCAGAAGAAGCACCGGCUAACUCCGUGCCAGCAGCCGCGGUAAUACGGAGGGUGCGAGCGUUAAUCGGAAUUACUGGGCGUAAAGCGCAUGCAGGUGGUUAGUUAAGUCAGAUGUGAAAGCCCGGGGCUCAACCUCGGAACUGCAUUUGAAACUGGCUGACUAGAGUACUGUAGAGGGGGGUAGAAUUUCAGGUGUAGCGGUGAAAUGCGUAGAGAUCUGAAGGAAUACCGGUGGGCGAAGGCGGCCCCCUGGGACAGAUACUGACACUCAGAUGGCGAAAGCGUGGGGAGCAAACAGGAUUAGAUACCCCUGGUAGUCCACGCCGUAAACGAUGUCUACUUUGGAGGUUGUGGCCCUUGAAGCCGUGGCUUUCGGAAGCUAACCGCGUUAAGUAGACCGCCCUGGGGGAGUACGGUCGCAAGAUUAAAACUUCAAAUGAAUUUGACGGGGGCCCGCACAAGCGGUGGGAGCAUGUGGUUUAAUUCGAUGCAACGCGAAGAACCUUACCUAC